UACGAAGGGGGCUAGCGUUGCUCGGAAUUACUGGGCGUAAAGCGCACGUAGGCGGCUUUCUAAGUCGGGGGUGAAAUCCCGGGGCUCAACCCCGGAACUGCAUUGGAUACUGCCCUGCUAGAGUACUGGAGAGGAGACUGGAAUUUACGGUGUAGCAGUGAAAUGCGUAGAGAUCGUAAGGAAGACCAGUGGCGAAGGCGAGUCUCUGGACAGUUACUGACGCUGAGGCACGAAAAGCGUGGGGGAGCGAACGGG
This 255-nucleotide ribosomal RNA is filed under the name uncultured bacterium. Its description in RNAcentral is "partial 16S ribosomal RNA". It matches the Rfam family "Bacterial small subunit ribosomal RNA", at positions 524 to 776 of the family's 1533-position model. The record is from RNAcentral.